Eutrema salsugineum is the source of this 1289-nucleotide long non-coding RNA. RefSeq lists it as uncharacterized. NCBI's taxonomy places the organism in Eukaryota, Viridiplantae, Streptophyta, Magnoliopsida, Brassicales, Brassicaceae. The transcript has 3 exons. The record is from RefSeq and is a predicted model, not a curated record.
UUUUUAUUUUGUUCGUCGUCUUCGUCAUCGCUCGAUCCCUCUGCUUCAUCGCUUGCCGGAGAUUUUCUGAUCGUCCUUCUGCUGCUCUAAAUGGCGAAAUAGUAAAUCGAGGAGCCAAACGCCUUCAUUAGAGGAAUUCGCGGCAAGUGUGACAGGAAAUCCCUUAGUCGUUUGGUUAAAUCCAUCCAAUAAACCGGUUUUUGUCUUCCUAUGGCCAGUGACAGUGUCCAUGACUAAGUCUGAGAGGAUUUACGGAGGUCAAUUCUUGCAACAAUAUAAUAUAAGAACCAAAUUCUUCAUAUGUACACUCUCUUUUGGUUGUCCUGAGACCUGAAAUUCUGUAUUGUGCCAAGAAAUUACAUGGAACAGGAAGAUCCAAAUCUUGGCUUUGGUCCCUUGGAUGUUGAGCCUUCAAGUGCUUCUGGCAAAAGCAUCUGGAAAAUCUGCAGGAACAUCUCCCAUUCAUCUGCACUCAUGUCUCCCAAAAAAACACCUUCUUUUUCAUCAUGAUUUACACAGAUAGGGUGGCUCUUGCUCCUCACAAUACUCCUAUCUUUCCAGUCUUCUUCUCUGUUAAUGUCGUUUACAUUUCUGGUCGGUUUAUCAUGAGUACCAAUCCAAGAACACAUCAUGAGAGCAGAUAGAUUCGCAGACAAGGAUAUAGCUGUUGGAAACAAAGGCGUUUUAGAGACCUGACUCAUCUCUGGAAGCUCUUUGCAUUCUAUAUCUUCAAAUUCAUCGUCAAAGUUAAAAAUACAACACUCCAGCUCUGCUUCUACUUCAUCCCAUUCACUUCUAUAACCAUCAUCGUCUUCUUCUUCUUCUUCUUCUUCAUGUCUCGAGUCAUCUUCUCACCAAUCUCUGCAAGACACAGCCCUGAAGCAGCUGCCUGUUUCAAGAAUAUAGUGCAGACGAUGAGGACUCGUAUGGAAGAUUCCUGUAUAGAGCAUAAUUCGGUUCUUAAAAUCUCUGCGUCUUUAAAAGGGUCAAGAUUCGAUAUAUACUCAAGCUCUGCCUCAGUGAAUGGAACCGAAGCUUGAGGCCAGUUAAGCCAUUCGAAAUAAGGAUCGUCGAAGCAUUCUGGUAGGCAAAGACCAUGAUCUAUAGGCACGAGCUCGGCUGCUCCAACUCCGUUAUAACAACUCUGGUCUUCUUGGUCAUGUAUCUUCUUCACUAACAUGUUUCCAGCAUGUCUAUCGAGGUUCAUGACUCUCACAUCAAGUAUCCCAAUCCUAUGGACCGAACCAACCGUGAAGCUUCCUGGUCCAAGCUCUCCUGCAUCAAAAUCA